GCAGCCUGCAACUCGGCUGCAUGAAGCUGGAAUCGCUAGUAAUCGCGGAUCAGCACGCCGCGGUGAAUACGUUCCCGGGCCUUGUACACACCGCCCGUCACACCAUGGAAGUCUGCAAUGCCCGAAGCCGGUGGCCUAACCACUUAUGUGGAAGGAGCCGUCUAAGGCAGGGCAGAUGACUGGGGUGAAGUCGUAACAAGGUACC
Molecule: ribosomal RNA, 205 nt
Filed under: uncultured bacterium
Lineage: Bacteria
Description: partial 16S ribosomal RNA
Rfam family: Bacterial small subunit ribosomal RNA
Source: RNAcentral